GGAAGGUUCAGACAGGAUGUCUAGAGGAAUGUUCAGACAGGAUGUCUAGAGGAAUGUUCAGACAGGAUGUCAAGAGGAAUGUUCAGACAGGAUGUCUAGAGGAAGGUUCAGAUAGGAUGUUUUGGGAAGGUUCAGACAGGAUGUCUAGAGGAAGGUUCAGACAGGAUGUCUAGAGGAAGGUUCAGACAGGAUGUCUAGAGGAAGGUUCAGACAGGAUGUCUAGAGGAAGGUUCAGACAGGAUGUCUAGAGGAA
Long non-coding RNA from Oncorhynchus keta (chum salmon), 253 nucleotides. RefSeq lists it as uncharacterized. The transcript is spliced from 4 exons. The record is from RefSeq and is a predicted model, not a curated record. NCBI's taxonomy places the organism in Eukaryota, Metazoa, Chordata, Actinopteri, Salmoniformes, Salmonidae.